Molecule: ribosomal RNA, 401 nt
Filed under: uncultured bacterium
Lineage: Bacteria
Description: bacterial SSU rRNA
Rfam family: Bacterial small subunit ribosomal RNA
Source: RNAcentral
CAGGGGUUUGAUCCUGGCUCAGAACGAACGCUGGCGGCAGGCUUAACACAUGCAAGUCGCAACGUGAAGCAGGAGCUUGCUCCUGCGGAAAGUGGCAGACGGGUGAGUAUCGCGUGGGAAUUUACCCAGUGGUUCAGAAUAACUUCAGGAAACCGGAGCUAAUACCGAAUACGCCCUUCGGGGGAAAGAUUUAUCGCCAUUGGAUGAGCCCGCGUCGGAUUAGCUUGUUGGUGAGGUAAAAGCUCACCAAGGCGACGAUCCGUAGCUGGUCUGAGAGGAUGAUCAGCCACACUGGGACUGAGACACGGCCCAGACUCCUACGGGAGGCAGCAGUGGGGAAUAUUGCGCAAUGGAGGAAACUCUGACGCAGCCAUGCCGCGUGAGUGAAGAAGGCCUUAGGG